This 406-nucleotide ribosomal RNA is filed under the name uncultured bacterium. RNAcentral describes it as "partial 16S ribosomal RNA". It matches the Rfam family "Bacterial small subunit ribosomal RNA", at positions 30 to 526 of the family's 1533-position model. The record is from RNAcentral.
AUUGAACGCUGGCGGCAGGCCUAACACAUGCAAGUCGAACGAUGGGAGGACGGGUGAGUAAUGUAUGGGAAACUGCCUGAUGGGGGGGGAUAACUACUGGAAACGGUAGCUAAUACCCCAUACCAUCAGAUGUGCCCAGAUGGGAUUAGCUGGUGGGUGGGGUAAAGGCUCACAAAGGCGACGAUCCCUAGCUGGUCUGAGAGGAUGACCAGCCACACUGGAACUGAGACACGGUCCAGACUCCUACGGGAGGCAGCAGUGGGGAAUAUGGCACAAUGGGCGCAAGCCUGAUGCAGCCAUGCCGCGUGUAUGAAGAAGGCCUUCGGGUUGUAAAGUACUUUCAGCGGGGAGGCGUUACCCGCAGAAGAAGCACCGGCUAACUCCGUGCCAGCAGCCGCGGUAAUUC